Molecule: ribosomal RNA, 798 nt
Filed under: uncultured Glomus
Lineage: Eukaryota; Fungi; Glomeromycota; Glomeromycetes; Glomerales; Glomeraceae
Description: SSU rRNA
Rfam family: Eukaryotic small subunit ribosomal RNA
Source: RNAcentral
AUCAACUUUCGAUGGUAGGAUAGAGGCCUACCAUGGUGGUAACGGGUAACGGGGUGUUAGGGCACGACACCGGAGAGGGAGCCUGAGAAACGGCUACCACAUCCAAGGAUGGCAGCAGGCGCGCAAAUUACCCAAUCCCGACACGGGGAGGUAGUGACAAUAAAUAACAAUACGGGGUUCUUUCGGAUCUCGUAAUUGGAAUGAGUACAAUUUAAAUCUCUUAACGAGGAACAAUUGGAGGGCAAGUCUGGUGCCAGCAGCCGCGGUAAUUCCAGCUCCAAUAGCGUAUAUUAAAGUUGUUGCAGUUAAAAAGCUCGUAGUUGAAUUUCGGGAUCAAAUUGUUGGUCGUGCUUCGGUACGCACUGGCAUUAUUGGUUCCUACCUUCUGAAGAACCGCGAUGUCAUUAAUUUGGUGUCGUGGGGAAUCAGGACUGUUACUUUGAAAAAAUUAGAGUGUUUAAAGCAGGCGCACGCUUGAAUACAUUAGCAUGGAAUAAUGAAAUAGGACGUUUGAUUCUAUUUUGUUGGUUUCUAGGAUCGACGUAAUGAUUAAUAGGGAUAGUUGGGGGCAUUAGUAUUCAAUUGUCAGAGGUGAAAUUCUUGGAUUUAUUGAAGACUAACUACUGCGAAAGCAUUUGCCAAGGAUGUUUUCAUUAAUCAAGAACGAAAGUUAGGGGAUCGAAGACGAUCAGAUACCGUCGUAGUCUUAACCAUAAACUAUGCCGACUAGGGAUCGGAUGAUGUUAAUUUUUUAAUGACUCAUUCGGCGCCUUACGGGAAACCAAAGUGUUUGGGUUC